This 221-nucleotide long non-coding RNA is filed under the name Elaeis guineensis (African oil palm). RNAcentral describes it as "long non-coding RNA (EGUI_LNC037139)". Lineage: Eukaryota; Viridiplantae; Streptophyta; Magnoliopsida; Arecales; Arecaceae. The record is from RNAcentral.
UAGCUAUUACAACAAUUACAAGAAAAAAAAAAUCUUGAUUACAUACUCAAUAAGGCCAAAAAAUCAAAAAUAGAAUUGCUAAAUAAGGAGAAACCAAAAAUGGAUAUGCAGGCUAAAUAUGAAUAUAUGUUGACUUGCUAAACAUAGAGAGAAAACAAAUAAGAGUAUAUGCCAAAAGUAGAGCGAUGAGGUGGAAUAAAUAUAUGCUGACACACCCCUCA